UUCCUGCCACACCAUUGUUUUGUCACUUUUAUCAACUUCCUUCUUUGGGAAUGAUCAGAACACUGAUUUCCAAGGUUGACAUGAACCAAGAGCUGGGUCAUAUGAGAGUUAAUUUUUUUUCUGUUGAAAGAUGAUAAGAAGGAGAGUUUGGGGAGUAAUUCAUUAACCCAUCCUCAGUAUCCAGUCAGAAUUCCCACAUGGUUGGAGGUGAUAUUUGAAUUUCAUGGAAUUCUUAACUGCUUUAGUGAACUGUUGAUUUUGUCACAUAUAUGAGAUCCCAUAUCUGACAAUGAGCAGAACAAUGCACUCCAGAGGUUAACGUGGAUCAAGAACUGUCUUUCAUGUAAAAGAAUUUAUUCCUUACCCUGGAGAUGUGACAUGAAGGAAAGUGUUGUGUAUUAUUCUGUUUCCCAUUCUCAGUGGCCAGAGGGAAUUCUUAUACAAACUCCCUUAAUUUCCUCUGUGCUUUGCAAAAUGGAAAUGAAUUUGGAAUUUCAUGGGAUUCUAACCAUCAUCACAAAGAAGUGCUGAUUUUGUCAUUCUUACCCAUUUCAUCUCAGGGACAGAACAGUACAAUGCACUCCAAAGAUUGGCAUGGACCAAAAACUGGGUUUGAGAUUUGAUGCCAUCUUCUUGAGAUGUGACAUGAAGGAAAGUAUUGAGAGUAAUUCUGUCAUCUCAUCCUCAAGAGUCAGUGGGAAUUCUCACAUGGUUCAAAGUGAUAUUGGAAUUGCAUGGAUUUCUUACUGCCACACCAUUGAAGGGCUGAUUUUGUCACUUCUUCCAGCUUCCUUAUCUGAGAAGGAAGACAACAAUAUACUCUUGAGGUUCAUGUGGAUCAAAAACAUAUGAAAGAAUUUAUACAUUUCCCUUGUGAAAUGACAUGAAGGAAAGUAUCAUGAAUAAUUCUACCUUCCUUGGGGACCAGUGGGGAUUUUCGCACUUAUAGCAUAAAGGCAUUGGGCGUCAAAAGUGUUUGAAGAGUUCCUUCCUUUUCAGGAACGAAGAUAUUGGACCAAAAUGAGGAACCGUUGUGCAUUGUGGCUCGGUUAUAGGAUGGCUUAUGGUAAUGAUAGUGCAUAGAAGAGAAGGAACACUGCCAUGCCCUUGCCUUACCUCUUGAAUGUCAGCUCCAGAGAAUGAGCAACAACUUUCCUCCCAGUCAUUGGCUCUCCGCUCCUACUUAUGGUCUCUUGGAUGCCCUUGCAGUAAAUCCCUGAAACAAGACUCCUCAGACAACAAGCCUCUUCACCUACCUAUUGUCUAAAAGCCAGCCUCUGAAGGUGAUGACCACAAAUAUGAGGUGGAUUUGUUACAGUUGGUGCCAUUACUUCUAUCAGCAGCUUCACCAAAACAAUGAUACAGUCUUCCUUAUGCAUGGAGACUCCUCUCUUUCCUGUGUUGCAGUGGAUACCUCCUGCAGAUAAGAAAUGAUUAACUGAGAAAUGCUCAUGUUGGGAUAUCAUCGAUGAGACUUUAAUUUGGGCAUGGUGACUGUUUCCCUUGCUGCCACUUGACUCAAUCCCAGGAACCUCAGUUGAGGAAAUUAUUACACAAGAAGCUCAAAAUGGUGGAAUUGCUCAGUGCUCCCAUAAAUAUACAUUUAUAAUUUUCAUUUGCCAUAUGGUAAAUUGAAAAAAAAAGGAUAUAUUAAAAAGAAACUGCAUUAUUUUUUUUCAAAAAUUCAAGGCAUAUUUAAAUAACUAAUAUAUAAAUUAAGUGCCCUCUCUCUUCCAAUUCUAUUCCCAUAGUUUUCUUCUAUAAGGGAGUUGUGUGCAUUCUCUUAGUGGAUAUAUGCACACAAACACACACAUUAAGUUAUUUUUUUGAAGGGGUUUGGAAGUGGGGUCAUAUUGUAACAUGUUCUUCUGCAAAAUGCCUCAUUCAUUUAACAAUAUUUUCAAAGGCCUUCUUCUAUUUCAGUAAUACAUACACAUCUGUGUCAUUUGUUGAAUGACUGCAUGACUGUUUUGUAGAUGAAAUAUAAUUCAAUGUUUUAAGCAUUUCUCAUUCAUAGAUAUUUAUGUUAGUACCAAAUUUCUGUGCAAUGAACCUCCUUAUAUUUCAAUAACUUUGCAUUUGUCUAUUAUAUCAUAAUAAAUUACUUAGCAGUUGAA
Molecule: long non-coding RNA, 2117 nt
Organism: Galeopterus variegatus (Sunda flying lemur)
Lineage: Eukaryota; Metazoa; Chordata; Mammalia; Dermoptera; Cynocephalidae
Exons: 13
Source: RefSeq, a predicted model, not a curated record